ACUGGUAGUACAGCUGUGGGAGUAUUAAUACUGUGUGUGUAGGGGCACUGGUAGUACAGCUGUGGGAGUAUUAAUACUGUGUGGGGAGGGAGGGCACUGGUAGUACAGCUGUAGGAGUAUUAAUACUGUGUGUGUGUGUGUGUAGGGACACUGGUAAUACAGCUGUGGGACUAUUAAUCCUGUGUAGGGGCACUGGUAGUACAGCUGUGGGACUAUUAAUCCUGUGUGGGGGACACUGGUAGUACAGCUGUGGGAGUAUUAGUACUGUGUGUGUGUGGGGACACUGGCAGUACAGCUGUGGGAGUAUUAAUACUGUGUGUGUGGGGUGGGACGCUGGUAGUACAGCUGUGGGAGUAUUAAUACUGUGGGUGUGUGGGGACACUGGGAGUAUUAGUACUGUGUGUGUAGGGUCACUGGUAGUACAGCUGUGGGAGUAUUAGUACUGUGUGUGUAGGGACACUGGUAGUACAGCUGUGGGAGUAUUAAUACUGUGUGUGUGGGGUGGGACGCUGGUAGUACAGCUGUGGGAGUAUUAAUACUGUGGGUGUGUGGGGACACUGGGAGUAUUAGUACUGUGUGUGUAGGGUCACUGGUAGUACAGCUGUGGGAGUAUUAGUACUGUGUGUGUAGGGACACUGGUAGUACAGCUGUGGGAGUAUUAAUACUGUGUGUGUGGGGUGGGACGCUGGUAGUACAGCUGUGGGAGUAUUAAUACUGUGGGUGUGUGGGGACACUGGGAGUAUUAGUACUGUGUGUGUAGGGUCACUGGUAGUACAGCUGUGGGAGUAUUAGUACUGUGUGUGUAGGGACACUGGUAGUACAGCUGUGGGAGUAUUAAUACUGUGUGUGUGGGGACACUGGUAGUACAGCUG
Molecule: non-coding RNA, 872 nt
Organism: Pelobates cultripes (western spadefoot toad)
Lineage: Eukaryota; Metazoa; Chordata; Amphibia; Anura; Pelobatidae
Source: the annotation of a GenBank genome assembly